UACGGGGGGGGCAAGCGUUGUUCGGAAUUACUGGGCGUAAAGGGCUCGUAGGUGGCCAACUAAGUCAGACGUGAAAUCCCUCGGCUUAACCGGGGAACUGCGUCUGAUACUGGAUGGCUUGAGUUUGGGAGAGGGAUGCGGAAUUCCAGGUGUAGCGGUGAAAUGCGUAGAUAUCUGGAGGAACACCGGUGGCGAAGGCGGCAUCCUGGACCAACACUGACACUGAGGAGCGAAAGCGUGGGUAGCAAACAGG
RNAcentral lists this ribosomal RNA (253 nucleotides) under uncultured bacterium. RNAcentral's name for it is "partial 16S ribosomal RNA". It matches the Rfam family "Bacterial small subunit ribosomal RNA", at positions 524 to 776 of the family's 1533-position model. The record is from RNAcentral.